This 440-nucleotide ribosomal RNA is filed under the name uncultured bacterium. RNAcentral describes it as "partial 16S ribosomal RNA". It matches the Rfam family "Bacterial small subunit ribosomal RNA", at positions 339 to 795 of the family's 1533-position model. The record is from RNAcentral.
CUACGGGAUGCUGCAGUGAGGAAUAUUGCACAAUGGGGGGAACCCUGAUGCAGCAACGCCGCGUGGAGGAUGACGCAUUUCGGUGUGUAAACUCCUUUUAUAUGUCAAGAAAAUGACGGUAGCAUAUGAAUAAGCACCGGCUAACUCCGUGCCAGCAGCCGCGGUAAUACGGGAGGGUGCAAGCGUUACUCGGAAUCACUGGGCGUAAAGGACGCGUAGGCGGGUUGGAAAGUCAGGUGUGAAAUCCUACAGCUUAGCUGUAGAACUGCACUUGAAACUUCUAAUCUAGAGUAUGGGAGGGGGAGAUGGAAUUAGUGGUGUAGGGGUAAAAUCCGUAGAUAUCACUAGGAAUACCUAAAGCGAAGGCGAUCUCCUGGAACAUUACUGACGCUAAGGCGUGAAAGCGUGGGGAGCAAACAGGAUUAGAUACCCUGGUAGUC